RNAcentral lists this transfer RNA (74 nucleotides) under Caudoviricetes sp. RNAcentral describes it as "tRNA-Arg". It matches the Rfam family "tRNA". Rfam says of the family: Transfer RNA (tRNA) molecules are approximately 80 nucleotides in length. Their secondary structure includes four short double-helical elements and three loops (D, anti-codon, and T loops). Lineage: Duplodnaviria; Heunggongvirae; Uroviricota; Caudoviricetes. The record is from RNAcentral.
GGUCCCGUAGCUCAGCUGGAUAGAGCACUGGCCUUCUAAGCCGACGGUUGCUGGUUCGAAUCUAGCCGGGAUCG